GUUCACCUUUGGACGUCCAGCAGUGAUUAAACUAGCAGCAUGGCAGGCCCCCAGGUUCUGAUCUUUGCGGCUUUAUUGGGCUGUGUCUUGGCAGUGCCACCUAUCGACCCACCGUAUGGACCGGCCCCGGCUCCUUCAGUGUAUUCUUACCGGUGGUCCGUGAACCCGCCAGCAUCGGCUUACAAUAAUCUGAAUCCAGCUGAGGCAGAAG
Molecule: long non-coding RNA, 211 nt
Organism: Lingula anatina
Lineage: Eukaryota; Metazoa; Brachiopoda; Lingulata; Lingulida; Lingulidae
Source: RefSeq, a predicted model, not a curated record